Molecule: ribosomal RNA, 466 nt
Filed under: Pseudomonas aeruginosa
Lineage: Bacteria; Pseudomonadati; Pseudomonadota; Gammaproteobacteria; Pseudomonadales; Pseudomonadaceae
Description: bacterial SSU rRNA
Rfam family: Bacterial small subunit ribosomal RNA
Source: RNAcentral
GAACUGAAGAGUUUGAUCAUGGCUCAGAUUGAACGCUGGCGGCAGGCCUAACACAUGCAAGUCGAGCGGAUGAAGGGAGCUUGCUCCUGGAUUCAGCGGCGGACGGGUGAGUAAUGCCUAGGAAUCUGCCUGGUAGUGGGGGAUAACGUCCGGAAACGGGCGCUAAUACCGCAUACGUCCUGAGGGAGAAAGUGGGGGAUCUUCGGACCUCACGCUAUCAGAUGAGCCUAGGUCGGAUUAGCUAGUUGGUGGGGUAAAGGCCUACCAAGGCGACGAUCCGUAACUGGUCUGAGAGGAUGAUCAGUCACACUGGAACUGAGACACGGUACAGACUCCUACGGGAGGCAGCAGUGGGGAAUAUUGGACAAUGGGCGAAAGCCUGAUCCAGCCAUGCCGCGUGUGUGAAGAAGGUCUUCGGAUUGUAAAGCACUUUAAGUUGGGAGGAAGGGCAGUAAGUUAAUACCUU